GAAAAGGCGUGGCAGGGGUGGAGGGUAGUGCGUGGGGGUGGAGCGUUAAUCGGAGGUAGUGGGGGGAGAGCGUGCGGAGGCGGUGUGUGGAGACGGGGGGGAAAGCCCCGGGCUUAACCUGGGAACAGCCGUUGGAAGUGGCGAAGUGGAGUGUGGGAGAGGGGGGUAGAAUUCCGCGUGUAGCAGUGAAAUGCGUAGAGAUGCGGAGGAAUACCGAUGGCGAAGGCAGCCCCCUGGACUAAGACUGACGCUCAGGCACGAAAGCGUGGGGAGCAAACAGGAUUAGAUACCCUGGUAGUC
RNAcentral lists this ribosomal RNA (300 nucleotides) under uncultured Desulfurococcus sp. RNAcentral describes it as "partial 16S ribosomal RNA". The stretch from base 57 to 300 matches the Rfam family "Bacterial small subunit ribosomal RNA", at positions 552 to 795 of the family's 1533-position model. The record is from RNAcentral. Lineage: Archaea; Thermoproteati; Thermoproteota; Thermoprotei; Desulfurococcales; Desulfurococcaceae.